AGCAAGAAGAAGAAGAAGAAGAACAACAAG
This 30-nucleotide small RNA is filed under the name Arabidopsis thaliana (thale cress). RNAcentral's name for it is "ATSL082740". Lineage: Eukaryota; Viridiplantae; Streptophyta; Magnoliopsida; Brassicales; Brassicaceae. The record is from RNAcentral.